This 113-nucleotide non-coding RNA is filed under the name Anaerobacillus isosaccharinicus. Its description in RNAcentral is "Anaerobacillus sp. NB2006 SAM riboswitch aptamer (S box leader)". It matches the Rfam family "SAM riboswitch aptamer (S box leader)". From Rfam's summary of the family: The SAM riboswitch is found upstream of a number of genes which code for proteins involved in methionine or cysteine biosynthesis in Gram-positive bacteria. The SAM riboswitch acts at the level of transcription termination control. The predicted structure consists of a complex stem-loop region followed by a single stem loop terminator region. The record is from Rfam by way of RNAcentral. RNAcentral also lists the same sequence under 1 other name. Lineage: Bacteria; Bacillati; Bacillota; Bacilli; Caryophanales; Bacillaceae.
CUCUUAUCAAGAGAGGUGGAGGGACUGGCCCGAUGAAACCCGGCAACCGCUAAGUAUUUUUUACUUAGGAAGGUGCCAAUUCCUGCAGAGCUGGAGGCUUUGAAAGAUGAGAU